GAACGACUCUCGGCAACGGAUAUCUCGGCUCACGCAUCGAUGAAGAACGUAGCAAAAUGCGAUACUUGGUGUGAAUUGCAGAAUCCCGUGAACCAUCGAGUUUUUGAACGCAAGUUGCGCCCGAAGCCAUUCGGUUGAGGGCACAUCUGCCUGGGCGUCACGU
This 163-nucleotide ribosomal RNA is filed under the name Blumea saxatilis. Its description in RNAcentral is "5.8S ribosomal RNA". It matches the Rfam family "5.8S ribosomal RNA". From Rfam's summary of the family: 5.8S ribosomal RNA (5.8S rRNA) is a component of the large subunit of the eukaryotic ribosome. It is transcribed by RNA polymerase I as part of the 45S precursor that also contains 18S and 28S rRNA. Lineage: Eukaryota; Viridiplantae; Streptophyta; Magnoliopsida; Asterales; Asteraceae. The record is from RNAcentral. RNAcentral also lists the same sequence under 2 other names.